This 29-nucleotide non-coding RNA is filed under the name Mus musculus (house mouse). The record is from RNAcentral. Lineage: Eukaryota; Metazoa; Chordata; Mammalia; Rodentia; Muridae.
UGUCAAGGUUGUGACAAUACUUUAUGGGU